CGGGCGUUAAGUUGCAGGGUAUAGACCCGAAACCCGGUGAUCUAGCCAUGGGCAGGUUGAAGGUUGGGUAACACUAACUGGAGGACCGAACCGACUAAUGUUGAAAAAUUAGCGGAUGACCUGUGGCUGGGGGUGAAAGGCCAAUCAAACCGGGAGAUAGCUGGUUCUCCCCGAAAGCUAUUUAGGUAGCGCCUCGUGAAUUCAUCUCCGGGGGUAGAGCACUGUUUCGGCUAGGGGGCCAUCCCGGCUUACCAACCCGAUGCAAACUGCGAAUACCGGAGAAUGUUAUCACGGGAGACACACGGCGGGUGCUAACGUCCGUCGUGAAGAGGGAAACAACCCAGACCGCCAGCUAAGGUCCCAAAGUCAUGGUUAAGUGGGAAACGAUGUGGGAAGGCCCAGACAGCCAGGAUGUUGGCUUAGAAGCAGCCAUCAUUUAAAGAAAGCGUAAUAGCUCACUGGUCGAGUCGGCCUGCGCGGAAGAUGUAACGGGGCUAAACCAUGCACCGAAGCUGCGGCAGCGACACUGUGUGUUG
This 536-nucleotide ribosomal RNA is filed under the name Salmonella enterica subsp. enterica serovar Enteritidis. Its description in RNAcentral is "partial 23S ribosomal RNA". It matches the Rfam family "Bacterial large subunit ribosomal RNA", at positions 689 to 1223 of the family's 2925-position model. The record is from RNAcentral. Lineage: Bacteria; Pseudomonadati; Pseudomonadota; Gammaproteobacteria; Enterobacterales; Enterobacteriaceae.